This 980-nucleotide ribosomal RNA is filed under the name human gut metagenome. RNAcentral describes it as "bacterial LSU rRNA". It matches the Rfam family "Bacterial large subunit ribosomal RNA", at positions 1950 to 2925 of the family's 2925-position model. The record is from RNAcentral.
CCUAAGGUAGCGAAAUUCCUUGUCGGGUAAGUUCCGACCUGCACGAAUGGCGUAACGACUUCCCCACUGUCUCGACCAGGAGCUCGGCGAAAUUGCAGUACGAGUAAAGAUGCUCGUUAAGCGCAGAAGGACGAAAAGACCCCGGGACCUUUACUAUACCUUGGUAUUGGCAUUCGGUGUGGAUUGUGUAGCAUAGGCGGGAGGCCGAGAGGCGCGGUCGCCAGAUCGCGCGGAGCCGUAAGGUGAAAUACCGCUCUGUUCGCAUUGGAUGUCUAACCUCGAACAGUCAUCCUGUUCAGGGACAGUGCCUGGCGGGUAGUUUAACUGGGGCGGUUGCCUCCCAAAGAGUAACGGAGGCGCCCAAAGGUCCGCUCAGCCCGGUUGGCAAUCGGGUGGCGAGUGCAAGUGCACAAGCGGGCUUGACUGCGAGGACGACGGUCCGAGCAGGGACGAAAGUCGGGACUAGUGAUCCGGUGCCGGUGUACGGACGCGGCAUCGCUCAACGGAUAAAAGGUACCCCGGGGAUAACAGGCUGAUCAUUCCCAAGAGUCCAUAUCGACGGGAUGGUUUGGCACCUCGAUGUCGGCUCGUCGCAUCCUGGGGCUGGAGCAGGUCCCAAGGGUUCGGCUGUUCGCCGAUUAAAGCGGCACGCGAGCUGGGUUCAGAACGUCGUGAGACAGUUUGGUCUCUAUCCUCUGCGCUCGUUGGAAUGCUGAGGAGGCCUGCCCAUAGUACGAGAGGACCUGGGUGGACGAACCUCUGGUAUGCCGGUUGUCACGCCAGUGGCACGGCCGGUUGGCUACGUUCGGAAGGGAUAACCGCUGAAAGCAUCUAAGCGGGAAGCCUGCUCCAAGAUAAGCAUUCCGUGGAACCUUCGAGUUCCUGUAGUCCCCAUGCAGAACACGUGGUCGAUAGGCCGGACGUGGAAGCCCCGCGAGGGGUGGAGCCGACCGGUACUAACGGACGAAAGGCAACACUGA